Long non-coding RNA from Ictalurus punctatus (channel catfish), 1225 nucleotides. The record is from Ensembl. NCBI's taxonomy places the organism in Eukaryota, Metazoa, Chordata, Actinopteri, Siluriformes, Ictaluridae.
GUGCUCUGUUUAAGUUCCCCGGUUUUUCUCCUCAGUUGCUGGCGCAUUGGGUCAAGUCGGUUAUGUUUGUGGUUUUGAGUUCCUCACAUUUGUUAUUGCUUGGUUUAUGCACUGUUUGUUUAUAUUUAAUGUCUUCUAGUUUUGUUUUGUUCCCCCCGGUUUUCUGAGUUUCUGGUUGUCCUGGUUCCCUUGUGUUCCUUAUUCCUUGACUGUUUCCCUGGUGUGUUGUCUGCAAUAAAGACGUUCUGCCAUCUCCCUGGACUCUUCACAUGACCGAACGCUCCAGCCACACAUGGAUGCAGAAGAACUUCCACUCUCUGUUGGGAGUGGAUGUUGGCUCUAGAGGUGAAGUGGGGAUACCUUAAGAGUCCCUUCGGCAACAGGAGAGACAUCUCAAUAGACUUGACUAGGAGAGGCUUUUUCAAUUCCAAGCAGUGCUUUGGAAAUGGUCUCAGGGUGGUGGCUGGGUGUUGCUUCAUUACCUGUUCAAGUGUUAUCUGAGGAGAGGACAUAGAGAUGUGAUGGUGCAGAACUUCUGCUGAACAGAUGAGGGAGUGAGGGAGUCUCUGUGCAUUACAAUUAACUAGUGGGGUCCAGACUAUAUGCUCUAUUCUUCUGGAUUCGGUUUCAUGCCAAGGAAGAAGAAAAGAAAAGAAAAGAAAAGUGAAAAACAGAUAAGCAAUUGUUCUACUUCAACAGCUUGGUGCUAUUUAAAGAAUGAUCAUAAAUGUGUCUUUAAUACCAUUGUAUGAAGGGUUAAUCUCACAAUUGUAUAUGGAGCUGAAACAGGUCUGACUCUUAUUACAGCAAAUGGAUUUAUGGUUGAACCCACAGAAGCAUAUCUGCGGUUAUGUAUUUUCCUCUCUAGGGUAAAUUUGAUUAAUGCGCAGGAGCGACCCACAGGACCCAGACAUAUCAGACAGUCAAAUAGAAAUUAGUUUAGCACACUCCAGUAUGGUUCCUUAUUUUAUGUGGAAGUACACUACGAAGCCAGAUCAUCUUACACUCAUUCUGUAGUCUUAUGAAAAGCAUUUUAGGACCACUAUGGAUACAAACUAGCCACAAUUUUUUUUAUUUGAUGUAUGUACUAAUUAUACAGUGUGUAAUGUAUUGUACUUUAUAAGAGGUAGGUUUCUCUUCUUUUUUUUUUCUUACAGAAAUAUAAUUAUGAAUAUAAAAAAGCUCAAUGCCAAAGGCAUCCAUAAAUGUUUAUUCUGAACCUUCA